UACGCAGGGGGCAAGCGUUAUCCGGAUUUACUGGGUGUAAAGGGAGCGUAGACGGCAUGGCAAGUCAGAUGUGAAAGCCCGGGGCUCAACCCCGGGACUGCAUUUGAAACUGUCAGGCUGGAGUGCAGGAGAGGUAAGCGGAAUUCCUAGUGUAGCGGUGAAAUGCGUAGAUAUUAGGAGGAACACCAGUGGCGAAGGCGGCUUACUGGACUGUAACUGACGUUGAGGCUCGAAAGCGUGGGGAGCAGACAGG
This 253-nucleotide ribosomal RNA is filed under the name uncultured bacterium. RNAcentral's name for it is "partial 16S ribosomal RNA". It matches the Rfam family "Bacterial small subunit ribosomal RNA", at positions 524 to 776 of the family's 1533-position model. The record is from RNAcentral.